AGCAGCCGCGGUAAUUCCAGCUCCAAUAGCGUAUAUUAAAGUUGUUGCAGUUAAAAAGCUCGUAGUUGAAUUUCGGGGUUAGUAGGUUGGUCAUGCCUCUGGUAUGUACUGGUCUCACUGAUUCCUCCUUCCUGAUGAAUCUUAAUGCCAUUAAUUUGGUGUUUUGGGGAAUUUGGACUGUUACUUUGAAAAAAUUAGAGUGUUUAAAGCAAGCUAACGCUUGAAUACAUUAGCAUGGAAUAAUGAAAUAGGACGUUCGAUCCUAUUUUGUUGGUUUCUAGGAUUGACGUAAUGAUUAAUAGGGAUAGUUGGGGGCAUUAGUAUUCAAUUGUCAGAGGUGAAAUUCUUGGAUUUAUUGAAGACUAACUACUGCGAAAGCAUUCGCCAAGGAUGCUUUCAUUAAUCAAGAACGAAAGUUAGGGGAUCGAAGACGAUCAGAUACCGUCGUAGUCUUAACCAUAAACUAUGCCGACUAGGGAUCGGAUGAUGUUAAUUUUUANGUACUCAUUCGGCGCCUUAA
Molecule: ribosomal RNA, 520 nt
Filed under: uncultured Glomus
Lineage: Eukaryota; Fungi; Glomeromycota; Glomeromycetes; Glomerales; Glomeraceae
Description: SSU rRNA
Rfam family: Eukaryotic small subunit ribosomal RNA
Source: RNAcentral